Long non-coding RNA from Callithrix jacchus (white-tufted-ear marmoset), 569 nucleotides. RefSeq lists it as uncharacterized. The record is from RefSeq and is a predicted model, not a curated record. Lineage: Eukaryota; Metazoa; Chordata; Mammalia; Primates; Cebidae.
GGCUAGAAGGGAAAUAAGUUAGCCUCUGGGUGCUGCUAUGCUUGCAAGCCAGUGUCUGGGGAGAAGAUGACAUUUCCGGUGGCAUCUGGGGCAAAUGGCAAAAACGAGUCAGCAUUUACUUUCUUGCUUUAGGAAGCGGAAGACUAGUGACCAAAGCUUCAAGACUUUGACAUGUACGAAAACACGAAAUGACCCUCGGCUCUUUUUGUUCUUGCUGGUAUGGUGUGUUCACAGCUGAAAAGGUGGUCAGAAGGGGAAAGGAGGAAGUGAGAAGAAAGAAACAAGGAAAUGGUCAAUGCUUGAGGUAUUUUGCAGACCCUGCAUGUGAUGGAUCAACUGACACCAAUCCAGAUCGAUAAACUGGCUCAUCUGAUCUUGUGGCCCCUACCCUGGAACUGACUCAGUGCAAGAAGACAGCUUCGACUCCUUAUGAUUUCAUCCCUGACCAAUCAGCACUCCUGGCUCACUGGCUUCCCCUAACCCCCCAAAUUUUCCUUAAAAACUCUUUUCUCCAAAUGCUGGUGGAGACUGAUUUGAGUAAUAAUAAACCUCUGGUAUCCUGCACAGUC